RNAcentral lists this ribosomal RNA (409 nucleotides) under bacterium. RNAcentral describes it as "partial 16S ribosomal RNA". It matches the Rfam family "Bacterial small subunit ribosomal RNA", at positions 355 to 776 of the family's 1533-position model. The record is from RNAcentral.
GGGGGAAUAUUGCACAAUGGGCGAAAGCCUGAUGCAGCGACGCCGCGUGAGGGAUGACGGCCUUCGGGUUGUAAACCUCUUUCAGCAGGGACGAAGCGCAAGUGACGGUACCUGCAGAAGAAGCACCGGCUAACUACGUGCCAGCAGCCGCGGUAAUACGUAGGGUGCAAGCGUUGUCCGGAAUUACUGGGCGUAAAGAGUUCGUAGGCGGUUUGUCGCGUCGUUUGUGAAAACCAGCAGCUCAACUGCUGGCUUGCAGGCGAUACGAGCAGACUUGAGUACUGCAGGGGAGACUGGAAUUCCUGGUGUAGCGGUGAAAUGCGCAGAUAUCAGGAGGAACACCGGUGGCGAAGGCGGGUCUCUGGGCAGUAACUGACGCUGAGGAACGAAAGCGUGGGUAGCGAACAGG